UGUAACUACAGGUUAUAAUACCAAUAACACUGUCCUACGGAUGAGAUCGAACAAAUUGUUUAAGCGUGAUAUAUAGCACGACCGGCCAUCUGGGAUAAUACACUCUUCACAGAGUGUAUUAUUUUAUUAUA
This 131-nucleotide non-coding RNA is filed under the name unclassified sequences. RNAcentral describes it as "DUF3800-I RNA". It matches the Rfam family "DUF3800-I RNA". Rfam says of the family: Actinobacteria, Firmicutes, Fusobacteria, Proteobacteria (1 example), Tenericutes (2 examples). The record is from Rfam by way of RNAcentral.